This 512-nucleotide ribosomal RNA is filed under the name Osteocephalus taurinus (Manaus slender-legged treefrog). Its description in RNAcentral is "partial 16S ribosomal RNA". The stretch from base 167 to 512 matches the Rfam family "Bacterial large subunit ribosomal RNA", at positions 569 to 1065 of the family's 2925-position model. Lineage: Eukaryota; Metazoa; Chordata; Amphibia; Anura; Hylidae. The record is from RNAcentral.
GCCAAUAAUCUAGCCCCUCAACAUCUAAUGAACCCCUAUACCCCAUCACAAAAACUAAAACAUUUUACUAAUCUAGUAAAGGCGAUUAAAAGAUUUAUAGGAGCAAUACAAGCAGUACCGCAAGGGAAAGAUGAAAUAAAAAUGAAACAAAUAUUAAGCACAAAAUAGUAGAGACUCACUCUCGUACCUUUUGCAUCAUGGUUUAACAAGUCCAAUCAAGCAUAAAGACUUACAGUUUGACCUCCCGAAACUAAGUGAGCUACUUCAGGGCAGCUUAUUGAGCGAACCCGUCUCUGUUGCAAAAGAGUGGGAUGACCUUCAAGUAGGGGUGACAGACCUAACGAACUUAGUGAUAGCUGGUUACUCAAGAAAAGGAUUUAAGUCCAGCCUAAAGUCUUCUUAGUUUAUCAAAACGUGACCUUAACUUUAGAGUAAUUCAAAUAAGGUACAGCCUAUUUGAAAAAGGAUACAACCUAGACUAAUGGGUAAUACUUCAACUUUAUAACUAAGUG